ACUCAAAGGAAUUGACGGGGGCCCGCACAAGCGGUGGAGCAUGUGGUUUAAUUCGAAGCAACGCGAAGAACCUUACCAGGUCUUGACAUCCUCUGAUACCCCUAGAGAUAGGGCAUUCCCUUCGGGGACAGAGUGACAGGUGGUGCAUGGUUGUCGUCAGCUCGUGUCGUGAGAUGUUGGGUUAAGUCCCGUAACGAGCGCAACCCUUGAUCUUAGUUGCCAGCAUUGAGUUGGGCACUCUAAGGUGACUGCCGGUGACAAACCGGAGGAAGGUGGGGAUGACGUCAAAUCAUCAUGCCCCUUAUGACCUGGGCUACACACGUGCUACAAUGGAUGGAACAAAGGGCAGCGAAACCGCGAGGUGGAGCGAAUCCCACAAAACCAUUCUCAGUUCGGAUUGUAGGCUGCAAUUCGCCUACAUGAAGCCGGAAUCGCUAGUAAUCGUGGAUCAGCAUGCCACGGUGAAUACGUUCCCGGGCCUUGUACACACCGCCCGU
This 497-nucleotide ribosomal RNA is filed under the name uncultured bacterium. RNAcentral's name for it is "bacterial SSU rRNA". It matches the Rfam family "Bacterial small subunit ribosomal RNA", at positions 899 to 1397 of the family's 1533-position model. The record is from RNAcentral.